CGCUCUUUGUGUAAAAAAAAUAAAGAGUCGGACCUGCCCAGUGACAUACGUGUUAAACGGCCGCGGUACUCUGACCGUGCAAAGGUAGCAUAAUCACUUGCCUUUUAAUUGAAGGCUUGUAUGAAUGGUUUGACGAGAACUGAGCUGUCUCCUUUUAAAUAUUUAGAAAUUAACUUGUAGGUGAAGAGGCCUACAUUUAUUUGAGGGACAAGAAGACCCUUUUGAGUUUUAGUGAAAUUAAGAAAUAAGUUGUAUUUUGAUUUUUAAAUUAAAAUAUUGAAUUAUGUAUAACAUAAAUUGUUUUUUUGGGUAAUCUUUAGUUGGGGCGACUGAGGAAUAUAAUUAGCUUCCUUUAGAUUAUAUUAUGAUUGGCUGAUUAAUUUGAUCCAGUGUUUGCUGAUUAAAGGAAAAAAUUACCAUAGGGAUAACAGCGUAAUCUUUUCGGAGAGUUCUUAUCGAAGAAAGGGUUUGCGACCUCGAUGUUGGACUAAGAUAUCCCAGAGGUGUAGAAGCUUCUGAAGGUUGGUCUGUUCGACCAUUAAAAUCUU
This 548-nucleotide ribosomal RNA is filed under the name Ilanga gotoi. RNAcentral's name for it is "partial 16S ribosomal RNA". It matches the Rfam family "Bacterial large subunit ribosomal RNA", at positions 1816 to 2597 of the family's 2925-position model. Lineage: Eukaryota; Metazoa; Mollusca; Gastropoda; Trochida; Solariellidae. The record is from RNAcentral.